UACGUAGGGUGCGAGCGUUGUCCGGAAUUAUUGGGCGUAAAGAGCUCGUAGGCGGUUUGUUGCGUCGGCCGUGAAAACCUGCAGCUUAACUGUGGGCCUGCGGCCGAUACGGGCAGACUUGAGUUCGGUAGGGGAGACUGGAAUUCCUGGUGUAGCGGUGAAAUGCGUAGAUAUCUGGAGGAACACCGGUGGCGAAGGCGGCAUCCUGGACCAAUUCUGACACUGAGGAGCGAAAGCCAGGGGAGCAAACGGG
This 253-nucleotide ribosomal RNA is filed under the name uncultured bacterium. Its description in RNAcentral is "partial 16S ribosomal RNA". It matches the Rfam family "Bacterial small subunit ribosomal RNA", at positions 524 to 776 of the family's 1533-position model. The record is from RNAcentral.